UACGAGGGGGGCAAGCGUUGUUCGGAAUUAUUGGGCGUAAAGGGCGCGUAGGCGGUGCGGUAAGUCACCUGUGAAAACUCUGGGCUCAACUCAGAGCCUGCAGGCGAAACUGCCGUGCUUGAGUGUGGGAGAGGUGCGUGGAAUUCCCGGUGUAGCGGUGAAAUGCGUAGAGAUCGGGAAGAACAUCAGUGGCGAAGGCGGUCUGCUGGGCCGUUGCUGACGCUGAGGCGCGACAGCGUGGGGAGCAAACAGG
RNAcentral lists this ribosomal RNA (253 nucleotides) under uncultured bacterium. Its description in RNAcentral is "partial 16S ribosomal RNA". It matches the Rfam family "Bacterial small subunit ribosomal RNA", at positions 524 to 776 of the family's 1533-position model. The record is from RNAcentral.